CCUGCUAACAAGAACAAAAGUCAAACUCUUCAGAUGUUGGAAAGAAAUAUGCAGAAAAGGAACAUUUCUACCACACAAAAUUUCAAAAUGUAGUGGGCACAGGGAAUGGAACUUAUAAGGAUGUAGAGCAUGAAAGGAAUUUGAAAAACUAGAAUGAUGACUAGUCCAGCGGGGAAUGCCUGUGAAUUAUCUCUUACUCCUAGGACGAUGAUGGCAGGUAUCCUUGGUGGCCAGUGACUCGGGAAAGCUUAGAAGCUGCAGAAAGCAGGGUUCAAGUGCUCCCUGAGGGCAUGGCUUGUAGUUUUCCACCCGUUAUGGAAUCAAACCUUGAAAGCCAGUGCCCAAGCUGAGCCCACUGCACCGCCCCACCAGAGAGAAAGAAGAGCUCUGUGCUAGGUCUUAGAUUUCAAGAGCAAGCAAGACAGACAUGGCCCCUUCCUUCCUGGACCUGACAGUUGCUCCUACUCGUCAUUUCCACCUAUGUAUUGCCUAGAAGCUGGGGACUGGAUCCCAUGGCCAUAACAAAGCCCAAAAGUAGGGAGAGGACUGACCUGCAGCCGUAUAGGACAAGGGGCCAAAGCCAUUAAAUGGGUCUGUCCAUGAGAGCACUUCUUGUGAAUACUUUGACCUUUUUCCUUGUAUUCUCUUGGACUUAUGGUUACAGUUAUGUUUAGCCAAGAGUUUUGGUUGUUAUUGUUUUGGUUUGCUUAUCUUUUAAAUUUCCCAUUACACAGUAGGAUCUCUUUACCUACCACCAACUUGUCAGCAAAUUUGAUGUAUCAGGAUAACUUUACAUGAUAAUGUUGCAAAGAAUAAAUGGAUGGAGAAUUUUUUUAAAAAGUGUGGCCUGUCCUAUAUUUACCCCUCUGCUGAAUUCCAGCAUGACUUUGAAGAGGCAGUGUCCAUGUGUUCCAAGUGGUGAUUGGCAGCAAAGAAAGGUUU
This is a long non-coding RNA of Aethalodelphis obliquidens (Pacific white-sided dolphin), 942 nucleotides long. RefSeq lists it as uncharacterized. NCBI's taxonomy places the organism in Eukaryota, Metazoa, Chordata, Mammalia, Artiodactyla, Delphinidae. The record is from RefSeq and is a predicted model, not a curated record. The transcript has 3 exons.